UGCAGGAGGGAGAGCAAGUGGGCGGGGGCCUUUUAAUCUGGGAUUUGGACGAGCGUGAGCAGGCCUGAUACCAGCACCCGUCAAUGCUAUCAGUCGUCCCCCUACAUUCCCUCCUUCCCCACCUCAGACGAAUGUGACAAGCGCUGGCAGACUGGUCCAAAAACCCUCUGCUCUCCUCCCUCAGCCUCACCUUCUCUCCCCUUUGUACCCUAAGAGAUCAUGACUCCAGGAGCAGAAGUGACUAAGGGCUUUCCAAGAAUAGGAUUCCCUUUGACAACCACCAGGCGCCCCAUUUCACUGCAUCUGGCCUUGGGCAGCGAGAGAGAAAGACAGAGACAAGACAAAGAGAAGGGGGUUUCAAAUAGCCUGGAUUUAUCUGACAAGACGUCGACAGGAAAGAAGACAACACACUGGAUGAACUGGGGGAGAGACAGGCAGCUGGGAGCUGCAGGUUAGGCCUUGGGCUGGUUGAGGGGAAACAGGCCCAGUGUGCAUCCAGCCACCACUCUAUCCUCUUACAUAAUGUCUCAAGUUCAAUAUAGCCCUGGUUGGCUAUUUAAAGGAUGUCCGUCUAGGCCAGCUGACAAAAAGGUGAUAUACUUAGUAGCCACCGCGCAGCAUGAAAGCCUCGGCUAGGGCUAUAUUGGUCACAGACAAGCCCGGGGUGUGGAUUUUGGUAAUGUUGCAGAUAUUUUUAGCCCGGCUGAUGAUCCAGGGUAUUUACAUGAGGUGCAAAACUUGCACACCCCCCAUAGCUGGAUGCCUAACUUCUCUGUGUAGCACCAGGCAGUCAGCUUAGUAAUAUUGGCUAAAUGACUAACUUAGGCAAUCACUUUGCACGUGCAUGAUGUUUGUUUUCAACACUUGCACAUACUAAAUCCAGCCAAAGCUGACUAAAUUAUUGACAAAAAUGCUAGUGGUGAUACGACAAAUGGUCAAAAGCUUUCAGGGUAGUCAGGAAGUUCUUUAAUCAUGCAAAAACAACUAAUAGCACAGGGUAUCCAUAGUUUGUGGCUUUUUGUAUUUACAUGGAGUAAACAGUACUUGUCAAACACAGAGUAAAAAUGGCUCUGGGCAUUAAUGGUUAAUAAAUAACUACAAUGUUUUUUCAUCCAGCCUUUUUCCAAUAGCCAACAUGGAAACCAAAUUCUUUGGAAGGCAGAAACCAGUUGAUACAUACCGGACAUCUUGCCUGAAACAAACUGAGCAUACAGAGUAAUUUCUCCAAAAGUUCUUCGCAAUUUUGCAUUACUUCAAUGCAUGUAUCAUGUAAAUAAUGGAAUAAUCCCUUUUCAAUUUGGAUUAAAUAAUGUACUGGCAGUAGUCUGGUGUUUAAGAUAAACUAAUGAUCAUCAUAUUUGCAUAUUUUGAACAAUGUCUAAUGUGUUAUAUGAUCCUUUUCCACUCAAAAAGCAUUCAAAACAAGCGUCUUUAAUAAAACAGUUUCUAAGUGACAGCAAAUCCCAGAUUCAGUUAGGGAUUUAGUCCAGUACCCAUUCAUCAUCACAGGAAAAUGUUACAGAGCCCAAUCUUAUUAUUGAAAGCAAAUGUAUGAUACUUUGCUAAGAUUUUACGCAUCUCAUUUUACUAUGCAAAACUAAAGACAUAGUUUGAAUGUAGUUCAUGUUUAAGACCGUAGGUCUUACUGGAAAAAUAACAAAUGCAAAGAAUGAAUUUGCAUUUCCGCAUUUGAAAUCAUCAGAAAAUAAAUAUAUUGUGUUUUGGCUGCCAGUUAAGGCUAUACACUAUUUGAAGAUGACUCUUGUAUCUUGUAAUCCACAUUUGCUAUUAGUUUCUGUAUCUAACAGACUGCAGGAUAACUUUAUUUAUUUAUAACUUUUUUAUUUUUAUAAUUGCAAUACUCAUAAGAACGUUUUAGACAAAGUACCUCUUUCUGUAACGAACUUGCUUGUUUAUAUAGGCGUCAACCUGUCGGUAAAGAGAAGUUAAAUGGUAAAAUUUUAGUUAGUUGGUACAUUGUACCUCUUUUCCAGCCUACUCUUUUCACCGGCCAAAGAUAGCAAUAGAUAAUUGCACUUCUCAGUGAAGUGAGAUGAGCGUGACUUCGAUAGUCAAAGUCAUUUAACAGAGAAGACCCAGAAACAAUGGCAGGUGUGGCACUAUUAACCUGAUCAAAGCUGAGAUUGGAUUUACACAGCUCAAUAAAAAUGUAGUGUUAUUAUGUUAAACAUCUAAACAAACUAUUGACAUACACCUGGUAUAGCAUCUCCUUUCUACCAUUAAAAGCACUUUGUCUUGUAAA
Molecule: long non-coding RNA, 2263 nt
Organism: Perca fluviatilis (European perch)
Lineage: Eukaryota; Metazoa; Chordata; Actinopteri; Perciformes; Percidae
Exons: 2
Source: RefSeq, a predicted model, not a curated record